ACUCAAAUGAAUUGACGGGGACCCGCACAAGCAGCGGAGCAUGUCGCUUAAUUCGAUGCAACGCGAAGAACCUCACCUGGAUUGAACUACGCAGGAAAAGCCAUAGAGAUAUGGUGUCCUUCGGGGUCUGCGAUAGGUGGUGCAUGGCUGUCGUCAGCUCGUGUCGUGAGAUGUUGGGUUAAGUCCCGCAACGAGCGCAACCCUUUUCUUAUGUUGCUAACAAGUUAUGUUGAGGACUCGUAAGAGACUGCCGUGGUCAACACGGAGGAAGGUGGGGAUGACGUCAAGUCAUCAUGCCCCUUACGUCCAGGGCUGCAGACAUGCUACAAUGGAUGGUACAAAGAGCUGCUAACUCGCGAGAGUACGCUAAUCUCAAAAAACCAUUCUCAGUUCGGAUUGGAGUCUGCAACUCGACUCCAUGAAGCUGGAGUUGCUAGUAAUCCCGGAUCAGCAUUGCCGGGGUGAAUACGUUCCCGGGUCUUGCACACACCGCCCGU
RNAcentral lists this ribosomal RNA (497 nucleotides) under uncultured bacterium. RNAcentral's name for it is "partial 16S ribosomal RNA". It matches the Rfam family "Bacterial small subunit ribosomal RNA", at positions 899 to 1397 of the family's 1533-position model. The record is from RNAcentral.